CAGACUGAGGCACCUAAAUUUAGACGCCAGGGUGUGAGCUCAUUGCCUGUGCUCCCAUUAUAGUCUGCGGAGACCUCAUCAGUGGACCUGAAGAGCUGCUCAGCUGACUAAACGGUGAACAUCCCCAGCUCUCAGCCUCUCUUCAUUGGAGAGAUGUUAAGGUUUGUGGUGUCUGACUGGCUGUGAUGUUUCAGAGGUCUUGAAAGUGGCUGUAUGUUUGUGAGCAGGACAAGUGCCUUAUUGUGAAGAUUUUUGGUGAGCAGUGUUGCUGUCUGCAAUGAGUGGCCUUUCAUGGGCAGUAUGGGAAGAACUUGGGAGCUGCCAGUGCCUUUGUUUUCAGA
Lagopus leucura (white-tailed ptarmigan) is the source of this 341-nucleotide long non-coding RNA. RefSeq lists it as uncharacterized. The record is from RefSeq and is a predicted model, not a curated record. NCBI's taxonomy places the organism in Eukaryota, Metazoa, Chordata, Aves, Galliformes, Phasianidae. The transcript is spliced from 3 exons.